This is a long non-coding RNA of Pecten maximus, 851 nucleotides long. RefSeq lists it as uncharacterized. The transcript has 2 exons. Lineage: Eukaryota; Metazoa; Mollusca; Bivalvia; Pectinida; Pectinidae. The record is from RefSeq and is a predicted model, not a curated record.
GUUAAUGUUUUUAACGGAGUUGUCUACAUACAUAUCAACAAGAGGGAGAAAAAAUACUAUCUCCCGUUGACAUUGGAUGAAUUUCAGGAUAUGACAGACCUCCGAAGUAGCCUGGAGGAUAACUUACAUUUAAUUAAUCAGGUAAGUGUCAUUUCUAUAAGCAGUAUAAUGUUUAUCAUCAAUUUAUAGCUAGUUUUAAACAGUGUAUUGCACAACACCAUUCAAUUUCCCCACAGGGUCAGAAACAAGAAGAGACAAAACAAAAGGAACUUGGCAAACAAAAGGAUGAGCAACAGGACGAUGUGAGACACGUGGUUGAUCGAAGAAUGCAUCCAUAUCGUAAGAACCCGUCUGGAGCGGCUCAUAAUUACGCCGAAGAAUUUGAGCAGUAUCUAUCGUCAUUUCAAUGAGUUAUCUCCCUUCGCUCACUACAGUAUAUAUAAAUUCAAGCAGUAUCUUCAAGCUAUAGCUAUACGAGUUAUCGCUCUUUAGGUGCAUUUUUAUUUUACAAUACUAUCGACGUCUCUUCAGUUAUGUAUCAAAAACGUGUCGUUAAAUCUAUCAUUGAUUUGAACGGUGAUGUAUUGUUGAGAGAUAAAUCACACUAUUCAAAUAGUCUCUGUUUCCUUAGUAUCUUAUUCGGAUGUCACGAAGUAGACAUAUGUCGAUCAGUCAUCUACCGUAAAGUAAUUACAGCAAUACAGCUACGGUAUCCAGAAUUUAGAGACGAAACUCAAUUUUUCAUAGAUAGCAUAGUAGAGGUAAAGUAUGGGAGAGUUCGUUCCCAUAUGAAAAAGCUGAAGAAACACCGAUAUUAUUGUAAAGUAGAACUCAGCUUUUCAACUUAUGAA